RNAcentral lists this long non-coding RNA (624 nucleotides) under Heterocephalus glaber (naked mole-rat). RNAcentral describes it as "lncRNA (ENSHGLG00000047935.1)". The record is from RNAcentral. Lineage: Eukaryota; Metazoa; Chordata; Mammalia; Rodentia; Bathyergidae.
CUGCCAUCUGUGGUGGCCUAGAGAAAAUGAAAAUGACAGGGUUCCAGAAUUUUUGAGGCCACGUGGUGGCACCUUGGACAUAACCAAUAGGCAGCAAGGCUAGAGUAGCAACAAAAAAGGCCUGACUCACUGGGAUUUGUGCUGGGGUUUUAUUCCUGGUUCUGGCUGUUUUCCCAGACCUCACCCAGGAGAAUAAGAGGAGCUCUGCUUGGAUCCUGCUAUUACAGAAUUGUCAAAAGGAACAUUCCUCCAACCGCUUACAUUUUGUAGUAUAUUUGAGCAAAACAACACGAUUCCCAAAUCAGCCACUCCAACCAAGGAUGUGAUCUGACAGCACUUAUUCAAAAACAGAGAGGUUAGGGUUUGAAUUGGUGAAAUGAAUAAAGCAGAAGGUCCUGUCCAAUCUAAUGUGAGUAGAACAAGAAAGCACAGUAGUGUUGGAUUUGCCCUCUCUCUGUCUGACGUGUGAGCUGUGACAUCCAUCUUCUCCUGCCUGUGGUGCUCCUGGUUUCCUGUCAUUCAGACCUCCUGGAAUCUACACCAUUGCUUCUCCAGCUGUGAAGGCCUCAAAACAAACAACACCACCUUUUGUGGGCCAUCAGCUUACAGGCAGCAGAUCGUGGG